CAGAGGGUGCAAGCGUUGCUCGGAAUCAUUGGGCGUAAAGGGUAGGUAGGUGGUCUCAUUUGUCUGGGGUGAAAGCCUUGAGCUUAACUCAAGAAGUGCCCCGGAAACGGUGAGACUGGAGUCCUAGAGAGGCUAGCGGAAUUCCCGGUGUAGCGGUGAAAUGCGUAGAGAUCGGGAGGAACACCAGAGGCGAAGGCGGCUAGCUGGAUAGGCACUGACACUCAACUACGAAAGCGUGGGGAGCAAACAGGAUUAGAUACCCUGGUAGUCCACGCCGUAAACGAUGGGUACUAGGUUUGGUGGGUCUUGACCCCCGCUGAACCGGCGCUAACGCACUAAGUACCCCGCCUGGGAAGUACGGUCGCAAGACUA
Molecule: ribosomal RNA, 372 nt
Filed under: uncultured organism
Description: bacterial SSU rRNA
Rfam family: Bacterial small subunit ribosomal RNA
Source: RNAcentral